RNAcentral lists this unclassified non-coding RNA (224 nucleotides) under plant metagenome. RNAcentral's name for it is "partial contains small subunit ribosomal RNA, internal transcribed spacer 1, and 5.8S ribosomal RNA". The record is from RNAcentral.
UCUCCGUUGGUGAACCAGCGGAGGGAUCAUUACAGGACUCGCAAGACUCCUUCACCCUGUGAACCUCACUACAAGCACGUUGCUUCGGCGGGUGUCCCGGCGGGGGUUUUCCCUCGCGGGGGCGCACAGCCCGCCGGCAGCCUACUAUACUCUGUCUCUUUGCGUUGGCGUCUCGAGAAAAAACAAACAAGUUAAAACUUUCAACAACGGAUCUCUUGGUUCUG